RNAcentral lists this ribosomal RNA (468 nucleotides) under uncultured bacterium. RNAcentral describes it as "partial 16S ribosomal RNA". It matches the Rfam family "Bacterial small subunit ribosomal RNA", at positions 28 to 507 of the family's 1533-position model. The record is from RNAcentral.
GACGAACGCUGGCGGCGUGCUUAACACAUGCAAGUCGAACGGAAAGGCCCUGCUUUUGUGGGGUGCUCGAGUGGCGAACGGGUGAGUAACACGUGAGUAACCUGCCCGUGACUUUGGGAUAACUUCAGGAAACUGUGGCUAAUACCGGAUAGGAGCUCCUGCUGCAUGGUGGGGGUUGGAAAGUUUCGGCGGUUGGGGAUGGACUCGCGGCUUAUCAGCUUGUUGGUGGGGUAGUGGCUUACCAAGGCUUUGACGGGUAGCCGGCCUGAGAGGGUGACCGGCCACAUUGGGACUGAGAUACGGCCCAGACUCCUACGGGAGGCAGCAGUGGGGAAUAUUGCACAAUGGGCGGAAGCCUGAUGCAGCAACGCCGCGUGCGGGAUGACGGCCUUCGGGUUGUAAACCGCUUUCGCCUGUGACGAAGCGUGAGUGACGGUAAUGGGUAAAGAAGCACCGGCUAACUACGUG